GAUGAACGCUGGCGGCGUGCCUAAUACAUGCAAGUCGAGCGAACAGACGAGGAGCUUGCUCCUCUGACGUUAGCGGCGGACGGGUGAGUAACACGUGGAUAACCUACCUAUAAGACUGGGAUAACUUCGGGAAACCGGAGCUAAUACCGGAUAAUAUAUUGAACCGCAUGGUUCAAUAGUGAAAGACGGUUUUGCUGUCACUUAUAGAUGGAUCCGCGCCGCAUUAGCUAGUUGGUAAGGUAACGGCUUACCAAGGCAACGAUGCGUAGCCGACCUGAGAGGGGGUUCGGCCACCGUGGAGCUGAGCCGCGGUCCAGGCUCCGACGGGAGGCAGCAGUAGGGAAGCUUCCGCAAUGGGCGAAAGCUUGACGGAGCAACGCCGGGUGAGUGAUGAAGGGCUUCGGAUCGUAAAACGCUGUUAUGAGGGAAGAACAAAUGUGUAAGUAACGAUGCACGUCUGGACGGUACCGAAGCAGAAAGCCCCGGCAAACUACGG
RNAcentral lists this ribosomal RNA (496 nucleotides) under uncultured bacterium. Its description in RNAcentral is "partial 16S ribosomal RNA". It matches the Rfam family "Bacterial small subunit ribosomal RNA", at positions 28 to 506 of the family's 1533-position model. The record is from RNAcentral.